ACAAGGCCUUUACUGACGCUAAAGCUCGAAGGUGCGGGUAUCGAACAGGAUUAGAUACCCUGGUAGUCCGCACGGUAAACGAUGGAUGCCCGCUGUUUGCGAUAUACUGUGAGCGGCCAAGAGAAAUCGUUAAGCAUCCCACCUGGGGAGUACGCCGGCAACGGUGAAACUCAAAGGAAUUGACGGGGGCCCGCACAAGCGGAGGAACAUGUGGUUUAAUUCGAUGAUACGCGAGGAACCUUACCCGGGCUUGAACUGCCAGUGAACGAUACAGAGAUGUUGAGGCCCUUCGGGGCGCUGGUGGAGGUGCUGCAUGGUUGUCGUCAGCUCGUGCCGUGAGGUGUCGGCUUAAGUGCCAUAACGAGCGCAACCCUUUUCAUUAGUUGCCAUCAGGUAAUGCUGGGCACUCUGGUGAUACUGCCACCGUAAGGUGUGAGGAAGGUGGGGAUGACGUCAAAUCAGCACGGCCCUUACGUCCGGGGCUACACACGUGUUACAAUGGGUGGUACAGAGAGUCGGAUCAACGUAAGUUGGUUCUAAUCCUAAAAGCCAUCCUCAGUUCGGAUUGGGGUCUGCAACCCGACCCCAUGAAGCUGGAUU
RNAcentral lists this ribosomal RNA (600 nucleotides) under uncultured bacterium. RNAcentral describes it as "bacterial SSU rRNA". It matches the Rfam family "Bacterial small subunit ribosomal RNA", at positions 728 to 1332 of the family's 1533-position model. The record is from RNAcentral.